UGGGGAAUUUUGGACAAUGGGCGAAAGCCUGAUCCAGCCAUGCCGCGUGAGUGAAGAAGGCCUUCGGGUUGUAAAGGUCUUUUAGUCGGGAAGAAAGAGUUGCAAUGAAUAAUUGUGAUUUAUGACGGUACCGACAGAAAAAGCACCGGCUAACUACGUGCCAGCAGCCGCGGUAAUACGUAGGGUGCGAGCGUUAAUCGGAAUUACUGGGCGUAAAGGGUGCGCAGGCGGUCUUACAAGUCAGAUGUGAAAGCCCCGGGCUUAACCUGGGAAUUGCGUUUGAAACUACAAGGCUAGAGUGCAGCAGAGGGGAGUGGAAUUCCAUGUGUAGCAGUGAAAUGCGUAGAGAUGUGGAAGAACACCGGUGGCGAAGGCAGCUUCCUGGGUUGAGACUGACGCUCAUGCACGAAAGCGUGGGGAGCAAACA
RNAcentral lists this ribosomal RNA (427 nucleotides) under uncultured beta proteobacterium. RNAcentral describes it as "bacterial SSU rRNA". It matches the Rfam family "Bacterial small subunit ribosomal RNA", at positions 355 to 774 of the family's 1533-position model. The record is from RNAcentral. Lineage: Bacteria; Pseudomonadati; Pseudomonadota; Betaproteobacteria.